This 484-nucleotide ribosomal RNA is filed under the name uncultured bacterium. RNAcentral's name for it is "partial 16S ribosomal RNA". It matches the Rfam family "Bacterial small subunit ribosomal RNA", at positions 30 to 507 of the family's 1533-position model. The record is from RNAcentral.
AUUGAACGCUGGCGGCAGGCCUAACACAUGCAAGUCGAGCGGAUGAAGGGAGCUUGCUCCUGGAUUCAGCGGCGGACGGGUGAGUAAUGCCUAGGAAUCUGCCUGGUAGUGGGGGAUAACGUCCGGAAACGGGCGCUAAUACCGCAUACGUCCUGAGGCAGAAAGUGGGGGAUCUUCGGACCUCACGCUAUCAGAUGAGCCUAGGUCGGAUUAGCUAGUUGGUGGGGUAAAGGCCUACCAAGGCGACGAUCCGUAACUGGUCUGAGAGGAUGAUCAGUCACACUGGAACUGAGACACGGUCCAGACUCCUACGGGAGGCAGCAGUGGGGAAUAUUGGACAAUGGGCGAAAGCCUGAGCCAGCCAUGCCGCGUGUGUGAAGAAGGUCUUCGGAUUGUAAAGCACGUUAAGUUGGGAGGAAGGGCAGUAAGUUAAUACCUUGCUGUUUUGACGUUACCAACAGAAUAAGCACCGGCUAACUUCGUG